This 450-nucleotide ribosomal RNA is filed under the name uncultured bacterium. RNAcentral describes it as "partial 16S ribosomal RNA". It matches the Rfam family "Bacterial small subunit ribosomal RNA", at positions 354 to 796 of the family's 1533-position model. The record is from RNAcentral.
GUGGGGAAUUUUGGACAAUGGGCGCAAGCCUGAUCCAGCAAUGCCGCGUGCAGGAAGAAGGCCUUCGGGUUGUAAACUGCUUUUGUACGGAACGAAACGGUCCGGGUUAAUACCCUGGGCUAAUGACGGUACCGUAAGAAUAAGCACCGGCUAACUACGUGCCAGCAGCCGCGGUAAUACGUAGGGUGCAAGCGUUAAUCGGAAUUACUGGGCGUAAAGCGUGCGCAGGCGGCUUUGUAAGACAGGCGUGAAAUCCCCGGGCUCAACCUGGGAAUUGCGCUUGUGACUGCAAGGCUGGAGUGCGGCAGAGGGGGAUGGAAUUCCGCGUGUAGCAGUGAAAUGCGUAGAUAUGCGGAGGAACACCGAUGGCGAAGGCAAUCCCCUGGGCCUGCACUGACGCUCAUGCACGAAAGCGUGGGGAGCAAACAGGAUUAGAUACCCGGGUAGUCC